UGAUGACGAGACGCUAAGGCGUUGAAGCAGUGUAUGUCAGACUUCCAAGAAAAGCUCGCAAUGUCACAAAUAAAAAGUGCCUGUACCAUAACCGACACAGGUGGGUAGGUAGAGUAUACUAAGGGGCGCGAGAUAACUCUCUCUAAGGAACUCGGCAAAAUGACUCCGUAACUUCGGGAGAAGGAGUGCCUUAUUUAUAAGGUUGCAAUAACAAGAUCCAAGCAACUGUUUAUCAAAAACACAGGUCUCCGCUAAGUCGUAAGACGAUGUAUGGGGGCUGACGCCUGCCCAGUGCCAGAAGGUUAAGGAAGUUGGUUAGUGUAUGCAAGCUGAUGACUGAAGCCCUGGUGAACGGCGGCCGUAACCAUAACGGUCCUAAGGUAGCGAAAUUCCUUGUCGGGUAAGUUCCGACCCGCACGAAAGGCGUAAUGAUUUGGAUACUGUCUCGGAGAGAGGCUCGGUGAAAUAGACUUGUCUGUGAAGAUGCGGACUACCUGCACCAGGACAGAAAGACCCUAUGAAGCUUUACUGUAACUUGAAAUUGGGAUUGGACUUUGCUUGCGCAGUAUAGGUGGGAAGCGUUGAAAAUAUUCUUGCGGGAGUAUUGGAGCUAUCAGUGAGAUACCACUCUUGUAAUGUUAGAUUUCUAACUUUGAACCAUAAUCUGGUCAAAGAACAGUUUCAGGUGGGCAGUUUGACUGGGGCGGUCGCCUCCCAAAUGGUAACGGAGGCGUACAAAGGUUUCCUCUGAACGGAUAGAAAUCGUAUCUAGUGUAAAGGCAUAAGGAAGCUUGACUGUGAGACCUACAAGUCGAGCAGGGACGAAAGUCGGUCUUAGUGAUCUGACGGUACUGAGUGGAAAGGCCGUCACUCAACGGAUAAAAGUUACUCUAAGGAUAACAGGCUGAUCUCCCCCAAGAGUUCACAUCGACGGGGAGGUUUGGCACCUCGAUGUCGGCCCAUCGCAUCCUGGGGCGGUAGUACGUCCCAAGGGUUGGGCUGUUCGCCCAUGAAAGCGGUACGCGAGCUGGGUUCAGAGCGUCGUGAGACAGUUCGGUCCAUAUCCGGUGUAGGCGCUAGAAUAUUGAGAGGAGCCUUCUUUAGUACGAGAGGACCGAGAAGGACACACCGCUGGUGUACCAGUUAUCGUGCAAACGGUAAACGCUGGGUAGCUAUGUGUGGAGUGGAUAACCGCUGAAAGCAUCUAAGUGGGAAGCCCACCUCGAGAUGAGUAUUCUCAUC
This 1242-nucleotide ribosomal RNA is filed under the name metagenome. RNAcentral's name for it is "bacterial LSU rRNA". It matches the Rfam family "Bacterial large subunit ribosomal RNA", at positions 1564 to 2818 of the family's 2925-position model. The record is from RNAcentral.